AAAAACAUGGCCUUUUGAAUUUAAUUUAAGGUCUAGCCUGCCCACUGAAAUUUAAAGGGCCGCGGUAUUUUGACCGUGCUAAGGUAGCAUAAUCAUUAGUUUUUUAAUUGAAAGCUGGAAUGAAUGGUUGAAUGAGAAAAUAGCUGUCUCUUUUUAAAUUAAGUUGAAUUUUAUAUCUAAGUAAAAAAGCUUAGAUUUCUUUAAAAGACGAGAAGACCCUAUAGAGUUUUAUAAAAAAAAUCAAUGAAAUUUUUUAGAAUUAAUCUUUUUAAUAUAUUAUUUUAUUUAGUUGGGGUGAUUAAAAAAUUAGACAAACUUUUUUUAAUAAAAUUCAUUAAUUUAUGUUUGUAUGAUCCAUUUAUUAUGAUUAAAAGAAAAAAUUACCUUAGGGAUAACAGCGUAAUUUUUUUUUAGAGUUCAAAUUAAAAAAAAAGAUUGCGACCUCGAUGUUGGAUUAAAAUUAAUUUUUGGUGUAGAAGCUAGAGUAUUAAGUCUGUUCGACUUUUAAAAUUUUACGUGAUCUGA
This 525-nucleotide ribosomal RNA is filed under the name Recchia albicans. RNAcentral's name for it is "partial large subunit ribosomal RNA". It matches the Rfam family "Bacterial large subunit ribosomal RNA", at positions 1809 to 2608 of the family's 2925-position model. Lineage: Eukaryota; Metazoa; Arthropoda; Insecta; Coleoptera; Cerambycidae. The record is from RNAcentral.